AUGCGGAUUUUUAAUCAGGCACUACUGGCUCGUCAAGCUUGGCGGUUGCUGCAAACACCGGAUAGUCUGUGUGCACGUGUACUGAAGGCCCGAUACUACCCACAAGGCAACCUACUAGACACUGUGUUUACAGGCAACCCUCCAACUUGGUCUGCUAUAUCUUAUGGGCUGGAACUUCUCAAGGAAGGCAUGAUAUGGCGCAUUGGUAAUGGUGAAUCAGUCCGCAUCUGGCGUGACAAUUGGAUACCACGCUCGUCCUCACUCAAGCCAUUUAGCGCUCGAGGCCGGUCCAGACUCAUCAGAGUUUUGAGCUUGCUUAACGAACGAGGUACAUGGGAUGUAGCUGCCAUGUGGGCUAACUUUCUACCAAUCGAUGCUAGGGCCAUUUUAUCCAUCCGUACCUCACCAAGACGUGAACCGGACUUUCCUGCCUGGCAGCCGGAGAAAAACGGUAUCUUCUCUGUUAAGAGUGCUUAUAAGCUUGGUCUCAGCUUGAUAGAGCAUGCUCGUAAUGUGCCAGCCACAAGUACUAGACCGAAUGGUGAUCGUGAGAUUUGGAAGAAGCUAUGGAGUUUGCCAGUUCCUCCUAAAGUCCGUACUUUUGCAUGGCGUGCAAUUACUAAUUCAUUAGCAACAGAGGAGAAUAAGAAAAAUCAUCAUAUCCCAGUCACCGGAGUGUGCACGAUCUGUGCACAUGCUACAACCAAUAGUUGGGAGAGACCACCUCCUAGCAUGCUGAAGCUGAAUAUUGAUGGAUCAUACAGUGAGAGUACAGGGGUGGCAGGGGCAGGUAUGAUUCUCCGUGAUGAGCAUGGACGAAUUGUUUUUUCUUCCUGCCGUUUUCUUAAUCGUUGCGGUUCAGCACUUGAGGCGGAACUAAGUGCCUAUAUGAAAGGCAUAUCCCUUGCACUGGAGUGGAGUCAGCAUGAUGUCCUUGUUGAAACAGAUUCCAUGGAGGUCGCUAAGAUGAUUAAUAAUCCAUCUCAAGAUAGCUCAGAGCUGGGUCAUCUAGUUGAGCACGUGAAGCAUCUCAUGAACCAAGGGAGGCGUUUUGCUGUCAACAAAAUCUCCCGGGAAAUGAAUCAAGCGAGCGAUCUGCUUGCUCGUUUUGGUCGUCUAGAGGAACGAACAGUAGUUUGGUUAGGAUCGGGGCCUCAUGAAAUAUUAGACCUCAUCCUACGGGAUUGUAAUGUGACUAUUAUUUAA
Molecule: ribosomal RNA, 1206 nt
Filed under: Triticum aestivum (bread wheat)
Lineage: Eukaryota; Viridiplantae; Streptophyta; Magnoliopsida; Poales; Poaceae
Description: partial small subunit ribosomal RNA
Source: RNAcentral